AAUAAAGUUUAUAGAAUAUGAACUCGUUUUUUAAUGAAAAGAAGAAAGACAUACUGAUACGGUGUAUUUGCCUAAGAAAAGGUCUUAAAAAGUAUACACCGAAACAUUCGUGUCACCGAGUCCAAGCUCCUGCUGCUCGCUGCAGGACAGGCCAGUGACUCCGAAAGAUGAUUGGUUGGGGCAAGGAGUAACGGCUUACCUGGAGAGACAGCAGACCGAGAAGAUGGUGGACUCCUGCCCCCAAGGAACCAGCUGCCUGCGUUGGCAUUCAGGCUUCUUUUAUACUAAAACGGGAGAGAGCAAAGUCAAACAUGUCCGGGUUCUGGUCAGCCUCCUCUUCCUCCUUGCAGUCAUUCACAGGACUUCCCUGGUGGCGCAGUGGUUAAGAAUCCGCCUGCCAAUGCAGGAGACACAAGUUCGAGCCCUGGUCCGGGAAGAUCCCACAUGCCGCGGAGCAAUUAAGCCCAUGUGCCACAACUACUGAGCCUGUGCUCCAGAGCCCACGAGCCACAACUACUGAGCCCGCGUGCCUAGAGCCCGUGCUCCUCAACAAGAGAAGCCACUGCAAUGAGAAGCCCGCACGUCGCAACGAACAGCAGCCCCCACUCGCCACAACUAGAGAAAGCCCACACGCAGCAACAAAGACCCAAUGCAGCCAAAAAUAAUAAAUAAAAUUAUUUUUUAAAAAUA
This is a long non-coding RNA of Eubalaena glacialis (North Atlantic right whale), 690 nucleotides long. RefSeq lists it as uncharacterized. Lineage: Eukaryota; Metazoa; Chordata; Mammalia; Artiodactyla; Balaenidae. The transcript is spliced from 2 exons. The record is from RefSeq and is a predicted model, not a curated record.